UGGGGAAUAUUGCACAAUGGGCGAAAGCCUGAUGCAGCAACGCCGCGUGAGUGAUGAAGGUCUUCGGAUUGUAAAGCUCUGUCUUUUGGGACGAUAAUGACGGUACCAAAGGAGGAAGCCACGGCUAACUACGUGCCAGCAGCCGCGGUAAUACGUAGGUGGCGAGCGUUGUCCGGAUUUACUGGGCGUAAAGGGUGCGUAGGCGGAUGUUUAAGUGAGAUGUGAAAUACCCGGGCUUAACUUGGGUGCUGCAUUUCAAACUGGAUAUCUAGAGUGCAGGAGAGGAGAAUGGAAUUCCUAGUGUAGCGGUGAAAUGCGUAGAGAUUAGGAAGAACACCAGUGGCGAAGGCGAUUCUCUGGACUGUAACUGACGCUGAGGCACGAAAGCGUGGGUAGCAAACAGGAUUAGAUACCCUGGUAGUCCACGCCGUAAAACGAUGGAGUAG
Molecule: ribosomal RNA, 446 nt
Filed under: uncultured bacterium
Lineage: Bacteria
Description: partial 16S ribosomal RNA
Rfam family: Bacterial small subunit ribosomal RNA
Source: RNAcentral